Molecule: ribosomal RNA, 433 nt
Filed under: uncultured bacterium
Lineage: Bacteria
Description: partial 16S ribosomal RNA
Rfam family: Bacterial small subunit ribosomal RNA
Source: RNAcentral
AACGAACGCUGGCGGCAGGCCUAACACAUGCAAGUCGAGCGAGCAUUUCGGUGCUAGCGGCGGACGGGUGAGUAACGCGUGGGAACGUGCCCUUUUCUGCGGAAUAGUCCUGGGAAACUGGGGGUAAUACCGCAUACGCCCUUUUGGGGAAAGAUUUAUCGGAGAAGGAUCGGCCCGCGUUGGAUUAGGUAGUUGGUGGGGUAAUGGCCCACCAAGCCGACGAUCCAUAGCUGGUUGGAGAGGAUGAUCAGCCACACUGGGACUGAGACACGGCCCAGACUCCUACGGGAGGCAGCAGUGGGGAAUCUUAGACAAUGGGGGCAAACCUGAUCUAGCCAUGCCGCGUGAGUGAUGAAGGCCUUAGGGUUGUAAAGCUCUUUCAGCUGGGAAGAUAAUGACGGUACCAGCAGAAGAAGCCCCGGCUAACUCCGUG